Molecule: ribosomal RNA, 1233 nt
Filed under: metagenome
Description: bacterial LSU rRNA
Rfam family: Bacterial large subunit ribosomal RNA
Source: RNAcentral
UGAAUACGAGACGCUAAGGCGUUGAAGUAGUGUAUGUCAUACUUCCAAGAAAAGCUUGCACUGUCAUAGAUAAAAAACGCCUGUACCAUAACCGACACAGGUGGGUAGGUAGAGUAUACUAAGGGGCGCGAGAUAACUCUCUCUAAGGAACUCGGCAAAAUAACUCCGUAACUUCGGGAGAAGGAGUGCCUUAUUUAUAAGGCUGCAAUAACAAGAUCCAAGCAACUGUUUAUCAAAAACACAGGUCUCCGCUAAGUCGUAAGACGAUGUAUGGGGCUGACGCCUGCCCAGUGCCAGAAGGUUAAAGAAGUUGGUUAGCAAUAGCGAAGCUGAUAACUGAAGCCCUGGUGAACGGCGGCCGUAACUAUAACGGUCCUAAGGUAGCGAAAUUCCUUGUCGGGUAAGUUCCGACCCGCACGAAAGGCGUAAUGAUUUGGAUACUGUCUCGGAGAGGGGCUCGGUGAAAUAGACUUGUCUGUGAAGAUGCGGACUACCUGCACCAGGACAGAAAGACCCUAUGAAGCUUUACUGUAACUUGAAAUUGAAAUUGGACUUUAUUCGCGCAGUAUAGGUGGGAGGCGUUGAUUGUAAUCUUGCGGGAUUAUUGGAGCCAUCAGUGAGAUACCACCCUUGUAAUGUUAGAUUUCUAACUUUGAAUCAUUAUCUGGUCAAAGAACAGUUUCAGGCGGGCAGUUUGACUGGGGCGGUCGCCUCCUAAACGGUAACGGAGGCGUACAAAGGUUUCCUCUGAACGGUUAGAAAUCGUAUCUAGAGUGUAAAGGCAUAAGGAAGCUUGACUGUGAGACCUACAAGUCGAGCAGGGACGAAAGUCGGUCUUAGUGAACUGACGGUACUGAGUGGAAAGGCCGUCACUCAACGGAUAAAAGUUACUCUAGGAUAACAGGCUGAUCUCCCCCAAGAGUUCACAUCGACGGGGAGGUUUGGCACCUUGAUGUCGGCUCAUCGCAUCCUGGGGCGGUAGUACGUCCCAAGGGUUGGGCUGUUCGCCCAUGAAAGCGGUACGCGAGCUGGGUUCAGAACGUCGUGAGACAGUUCGGUCCAUAUCCGGUGUAGGCGUUAGAAUAUUGAGAGGAGCCUUCUUUAGUACGAGAGGACCGAGAAGGACAUACCUCUGGUGUACCAGUUAUCGUGCCAACGGUAAACGCUGGGUAGCUAUGUAUGGAGUGGAUAACCGCUGAAAGCAUCUAAGUGGGAAGCCCACCUCAAGAUAAG